Molecule: non-coding RNA, 27 nt
Filed under: Homo sapiens (human)
Lineage: Eukaryota; Metazoa; Chordata; Mammalia; Primates; Hominidae
Source: RNAcentral
CUGAAAGACAAAACCGCCUGCAGUUUU